Molecule: long non-coding RNA, 1108 nt
Filed under: Equus caballus (horse)
Lineage: Eukaryota; Metazoa; Chordata; Mammalia; Perissodactyla; Equidae
Description: lncRNA (ENSECAG00000059818.1)
Source: RNAcentral
GAUCCAAAACAGCGAAACCUGGGCUGCCAAAGCGGAGAGCACAAACUUAACCGCUACUACAGCAGUUCAGCCCAAACAAAUGCUACUUUUUUGAUUGCAAGAAGAAUGCAUUGGCUGUAGAAAAGUUGGAAAAUUCUUAACAAAAAAACAAAAAAAAUAGAAUGAAUACUGUUUUCCUAAUUAAUUUAGAAUGAUUUGUUACAAAUAUUUAUCUAAAUAUAUCUUCAAAAAUAUAUAAAUAUUUAUAAUAAAGAAUUUAAGUUACAUAAAUAUAUAAGUAUUUACCUAAAUAUAUAUAUAUUUAUACAUGUACACAUUUUUACAUGAAUAAAUAUACAAAUAAAUAAAACUAUUUUGUAACUAAAAUAGAUAUACAAUCAUUUAUUAUAAUUUAAUGAGUACUGUUCAAAAUCACCUAUAAUAGUUUGACCACCUGGAGAUAUAUCCAACUUUUUCCUAUGACUCUUUUCAGUUUUGAUAUAUUAUACAUACUCAUGCACAUAUGCAUAUUUUUACAGAAGUGGAAUCAUACCAUUAACUGUCCUUCUUUAUGUGGGCUUCUCUAAUGUUAAAUGCAAGUUUAGUCAAAGGGGGAUGAAUAGUCACCUCUGAGUGUCUGCUGCUGUACUAAGUAUCUCUGAAGUCUUCUACUGUAUCCUGAAAACCCAUAUGAACAUUUGCAGCCUACUGCAAAACACAUCUGUGCUUGUUUAAAUAAGAAAAUAACAUAUUAGCUACCAUUGAAGUUAUUGAAUUGGUCUUCUCCAAAGACAGGUGAAGUUGAUCUUCUGCCUUUAGCCCAUCUGAAGCACACCCACCACAGGUGCUGGGUGCCUGGGGUGACUGCACCCCACCAGAGAAGUGUGGCUCUGUAUCAUCAUUGUUCAUUGUUAACGGCCAUGUAGUAUUCCACUGAAUUGGCCUUGGACCCGUUUAUUGAACCAGUCCAUUAUUGGGAACAAUUAGAUUUUUUCAAUGUUUCAUCUUUUAUACAAACAGCAGCAUGAACAAAUGUUGGCUAGUCCCAUUUGUGGAUCUGACAUGAGGCCCAGAGAUGAUCUUGGGGAAUAAAGAAUUUAACCUUAGCCAAAGACAGCUCUGGCUUUUG